Molecule: long non-coding RNA, 423 nt
Organism: Astatotilapia calliptera (eastern happy)
Lineage: Eukaryota; Metazoa; Chordata; Actinopteri; Cichliformes; Cichlidae
Source: Ensembl
CAAAGACACAGAGAAGCUAUAAACCAACAAAAAGAGUGUUUCAUCACGGGCCCAGACUGGAUGAGCACCACCCUCCUGCUCUGCUGUAGGUGAAGCGGUCAGAGCUCUGUUCCUGGACCAUCCUGUUCCUAACCAUAUACAGUCUUCUGUUGGAAUCACCUCAUCUCUGCUAUUAACUGGAAGAAGGACGUGUCCUUUAAACGUGUCCACAGGUGUGUCCUACCAAAGGUGUCCUUAAAACUGCUAUAAAACGUGACUCUCAGGGGUUUUGGAACGACGUCUUAUCUGGACCACAUCAGGACAGCAGCAUAAACUCGUCUCUAUCUUCCAUGUCCUCACUGUCAUGAUGGAAAUGCACAACUAUACUGACACUAUCAAACUUUCUGCUCUUGUCCUUUUGUCAAAUAAAGCUUUUUUUUUAAG